Molecule: ribosomal RNA, 454 nt
Filed under: uncultured bacterium
Lineage: Bacteria
Description: bacterial SSU rRNA
Rfam family: Bacterial small subunit ribosomal RNA
Source: RNAcentral
UACGGGAGGCAGCAGUGGGGAAUAUUGCACAAUGGGCGCAAGCCUGAUGCAGCCAUGCCGCGUGUAUGAAAAGGCCUUCGGGUUGUAAAGUACUUUCAGUCGUGAGGAAGGUGUUAAGGUUAAUAACCUUAGCAAUUGACGUUAGCGACAGAAGAAGCACCGGCUAACUCCGUGCCAGCAGCCGCGGUAAUACGGAGGGUGCGAGCGUUAAUCGGAAUUACUGGGCGUAAAGGGCACGCAGGCGGUUAAUUAAGUUGGAUGUGAAAUCCCCGGGCUUAACCUGGGAAUGGCAUUCAAGACUGGUUAGCUAGAGUCUUGUAGAGGGGGUAGAAUUCCAUGUGUAGCGGUGAAAUGCGUAGAGAUGUGGAGGAAAUACCGGUGGCGAAGGCGGCCCCCUGGACAAAGACUGACGCUCAUGUGCGAAAGCGUGGGGAGCAAACAGGGAUUAGAUACC